Molecule: non-coding RNA, 489 nt
Organism: Nicotiana tabacum (common tobacco)
Lineage: Eukaryota; Viridiplantae; Streptophyta; Magnoliopsida; Solanales; Solanaceae
Source: RefSeq, a predicted model, not a curated record
UCAGCAUUAUUCUUGUGCACCCUACAAAACGAACCCAAAGGGUGUUUGUAAUGGGCAGUUGCUUGUUGCUGUGUGUAAGGAUGGCAACAACCAGAUGCUGCCACUAGCUUGGGCAGUGGUAGAAGUUGAGAACAAUUUUACUUGGACCUGGUUUAUGAGGCUGUUGAGGGAUGAUCUUGAACUUGGAGAUGGGACAAAUUUCACAUUUAUAACAGACAUGUUGAAGGGACUGACUCAAGCAAUGAAUAAUGUGCUGCCAAACUAUGAACAUAAGAUGUGUGCCAGACACAUCCUAGUCAAUUGAUCCAAGAAUUUGAGAGGCAUUAAAAGAAUAAAUUGUUUCUGGAGAUGUGCCAGAAGUACUUAUUAGGCAGAGUUGAAAAAGAAUCUUGACUUCAUGAAAAGAUUAGGUGGUAAAAGAAUUAUUGAUGACUUGUUAUAGUAUAACAAAGAAAAGUGGUCUAAGGUAUACUUCCAGUUCUUUAGCAA